AGGACACCUACUUAAAUGGCGACU
This 24-nucleotide non-coding RNA is filed under the name Arabidopsis thaliana (thale cress). Lineage: Eukaryota; Viridiplantae; Streptophyta; Magnoliopsida; Brassicales; Brassicaceae. The record is from RNAcentral.